This 221-nucleotide unclassified non-coding RNA is filed under the name Planomicrobium mcmeekinii. Its description in RNAcentral is "partial miscellaneous RNA". Lineage: Bacteria; Bacillati; Bacillota; Bacilli; Caryophanales; Caryophanaceae. The record is from RNAcentral.
AAGGAUAAUAUCGGAAACAAGAUCUUCGGAUCUUGUGUUGACGUUUUGCGUUCAGUUUUGAAGGUUCACCUUCAGGCGGCAACGCCUUUUUGCGUGUUCUUUCAUAAGAUAACUUGUUCUUUGAAAACUGGAUAAAACGACAUUGAAACAAAGCAAGAAACAAAGCGAUUCAAGAAGUGACACGGCUGAAUUUUUUCAGCCAACUUUUUAACAAACCACUU